GCCGAAGUGGUGGAAUUGGUAGACGCGCAUGGUUCAGGUCCAUGUGGUGGAAACACCGUGGAAGUUCGAGUCUUCUCUUCGGCACCA
RNAcentral lists this transfer RNA (87 nucleotides) under Pseudodesulfovibrio aespoeensis. RNAcentral's name for it is "tRNA-Leu". It matches the Rfam family "tRNA". Rfam says of the family: Transfer RNA (tRNA) molecules are approximately 80 nucleotides in length. Their secondary structure includes four short double-helical elements and three loops (D, anti-codon, and T loops). Further hydrogen bonds mediate the characteristic L-shaped molecular structure. tRNAs have two regions of fundamental functional importance: the anti-codon, which is responsible for specific mRNA codon recognition, and the 3' end, to which the tRNAs corresponding amino acid is attached (by aminoacyl-tRNA synthetases). tRNAs cope with the degeneracy of the genetic code in two manners: having more than one tRNA (with a specific anti-codon) for a particular amino acid; and 'wobble' base-pairing, i.e. permitting non-standard base-pairing at the 3rd anti-codon position. RNAcentral also lists the same sequence under 3 other names. The record is from RNAcentral. Lineage: Bacteria; Pseudomonadati; Thermodesulfobacteriota; Desulfovibrionia; Desulfovibrionales; Desulfovibrionaceae.